Molecule: ribosomal RNA, 492 nt
Filed under: uncultured bacterium
Lineage: Bacteria
Description: partial 16S ribosomal RNA
Rfam family: Bacterial small subunit ribosomal RNA
Source: RNAcentral
AGUGAACGCUGGCGGUAGGCCUAACACAUGCAAGUCGAACGGCAGCACAGUAAGAGCUUGCUCUUACGGGUGGCGAGUGGCGGACGGGUGAGGAAUACAUCGGAAUCUACUUUUUCGUGGGGGAUAACGUAGGGAAACUUACGCUAAUACCGCAUACGACCUACGGGUUAAAGCAGGGGAUCUUCGGACCUUGCGCGAUUGAAUGAGCCGAUGUCGGAUUAGCUAGUUGGCGGGGUAAAGGCCCACCAAGGCGACGAUCCGUAGCUGGUCUGAGAGGAUGAUCAGCCACACUGGAACUGAGACACGGUCCAGACUCCUACGGGAGGCAGCAGUGGGGAAUAUUGGACAAUGGGCGCAAGCCUGAUCCAGCCGUACCGCGUGGGUGAAGAAGGCCUUCGGGUUGUAAAGCCCUUUUGUUGGGAAAGAAAAGCAGCAGGUUAAUACCCCGCUGUUCUGACGGUACCCAAAGAAUAAGCACCGGCUAACUUCGUG